UUUAAGGGGCACUGCAAGGCAUACUUGGAACUCUCUGUGUACAUGGGCAGAGUUUGUCAGCAAGUGGGACUCAUGGAAGACAAUCAGAUAGGGUCUCACUUUGUCACCAAGGAUGGCGUGCAGUGGCAUAAUCUUGGCUCAGUGCAGCCUCAAAUCCCUGGGCUCAAGUGAUCCUCCCAUCUCAGCCUCCCAAAGUGCUGGGAUUACAGGCAUGAGCCACCAUGUCAGGCCCAGCGUUUCUGUUUGAGGUAUAGGAGGGAGGCAGGAGCAGAUGUGGCUGCAGAAGAGAAGAAAGCAAUGUGACCACAGAAACAGAGAUUGGAGUCAUACAGCUACCAGCCGAGAACACCGGCAGGCAGCUGCCAGAAGAUGGAAGAGGCAAGGAACAGAUUCUCCCCAAGACCAGAAGGAUCCAAUCCUGAUGACACCUUGAUUUUAUUCCUAUAUAACUCAUUUUGAAUUUAUACUUAAUUGUAAUUGUUCUGGUUUCCAGAACUGUAAAAACAAAACAAACAAAAAAACCCAAAAAACAUUUCUAUUGUCUUAAGCCACAAGGUUUGUGCUAAUUUGUUACAAUGGCAAUAGAUAACUAAUACAUGCAUAUUUAAAACUUCUUGGAAUUUUAAGCCUAAUAAAUGUCCAUUAUACAUUA
This 652-nucleotide long non-coding RNA is filed under the name Homo sapiens (human). RNAcentral describes it as "HSALNT0370230". The record is from RNAcentral. Lineage: Eukaryota; Metazoa; Chordata; Mammalia; Primates; Hominidae.